Molecule: long non-coding RNA, 6615 nt
Organism: Capsicum annuum
Lineage: Eukaryota; Viridiplantae; Streptophyta; Magnoliopsida; Solanales; Solanaceae
Exons: 2
Source: RefSeq, a predicted model, not a curated record
GUAUAUAUAUACACGACCAUAUUCAUGUUUUUCCACAUUUAGAUCUUCUCGGGUUUUUUUUUUCUUCUUUAGAAAAAUUGAUUAGAGUUCUUAGUUAGUCUUAUAAAGUUACAUAUAAGUUAAGAGGCGUUGUGGAAAAUAAUUUCUUUGAUAUCAUUCAAAUGCAGGUUCUAGCAAGAUACUAUUUGAAGGUUUCGCAGAAAGAUAUUAUAGCUUUAGCAUCCAGCUCCGAGUACUAGCAGUCGGUGUUGACGUAGUUCCUACCUUCUAGUACUGAUUCAGAGCAGGGUGAGCUUGCUGUCAUCGGAGGCUGAUCCUCCUCUAUCUACUUUAGUUAGUCUUUUGCACUCGAGACUCCUCGUGUAUGUUGUGUACAUUUUAGAUUUUUGUCUAGUACUCUGGGUACCUGUUAGUAGUGGCUCUAGUAUUGACUUUAUUAGGUCUUGGGAGAGAUUCAUUGUAUAGUUGGUCCUUUUUUCUCUUCUCGUUUUGAUAUAAUAUAUAUAUAUAUAUAUAUAUAUAUACCCCUUUCUUAGUUUUCAAUUAUUAUUGUUGUUGUUAUUAUUAUAUGUGAUCUUUUAUUUAGUCUCUGCCUGUUAGCCCGUUACCUAUCAUUUCGUGCUAUGGCUUGGCUUGCCUACUGGUGGGUUAAAGUAGGUGCUAUCACGACUUAAGAAGUUGGGUCGUGACAAACUUAAGUGUUUUGAUACUUGUGCUUCGAAUUCCUUCACAUAAACUGGGGUAGAGGGAAUAAGUGAUUUGACUCUGUAUUUUUUUCACAAAAUGAAAAUUACUUUGGUAGCAGUAGUAACUACCCCUAGUAACUAGUAACCAAGUAUUUGCAAAUUGAUUAAUCAAAUAAUUAAUAUAAUGCAACUUGAGCAUUAUCAUACAGUGAAAAACAUGAGUUUUGCGACCAAAGUAGGAAAUAGGUUUUAAUAGAAUCUUGAAUACUUAAAAGAGACCAUAUAUAACCUUCCAUAACACUUGAGUUUAGCCAUCGAUCUUCUACUUCUCUUUUCAAAUACUAAGCUCAACAACUGAAAUUAUAAGCAAAAACACUGGCUCCAACAUUGUCAACUCUCUCUUAUUCCAACAUAUAGGAUGUCAAAUAUUUUUGUUGAAAGAAGAAAAGUCAGCUCAGCCCUUGCAACUAACACUGUUAAAACAGUGCUAACUAAUUUCAGGAAAGUAGUUAGUAACUAACUUUGUUUCUUAUAGCUAAUUGAGUUAGUUAAGUAGUUAGUCUCUAGAACUUUCCAUGAUUAGCUAUAUAUACAUACUAACUACACAUUGUACAACACAAGAUCAAGAUUUAAUCAAUGAGAUCAAUCUAAACUCUUCUCUUUCUCUGCAUUCUAAUAUUUCUUUAUUCUUCUUCAUUCCAGUUUAUAGAGUUCAUCCAUAAUGAACUCUGAUUAAGUUCAUGGUAUUAGAGCUCAAUCGAUUUUUUUAAUCAUCUCCAUUAUUGAGAUUAUACUUUCGCAAAUUCCAAACUCUAAAAUCUACAAAGAUCAAUACAAAAAUUACAUCAAGAAAAUAAUUUAUUGCUAUAGUGAUGGAUUCUAACAAUGGUACCAUGCUGAAGAAUCAGCCAAUUCAUCUAGUAGAGCAACUGGAGUUCAAUAUUCAGUAGGAAUUAAUUAUAACCAUCCACUAUUUCUACAUCCAUCAGAUGUAAGUGGCCUGUAGAUUAUCUCUUUUUAGUUAACUGGGAAUUAAAAACUUCUCUAUGUGGUUUCGAUCCAUGAGACUAUCUUUGCUAGGAAGAAACAAGUUAGGAAUGGUAGAUAGUUCAAGUUCUAAGGAUAAAUUCCCUCUUGAAAUGAGUAACCACUGGAAAAGAGUAAAUGCAAUAGUACUUUUUUGGAUCAUGAAUGGAGUAGUUAAAAAUCUGUUCGGUGGGAUCAUGUAUGCCACUAGUGCACAAGCUGUUUGGAAUGAUUUGCAUGAGAGGUUCAAUAAGAUUGAUGGUUUAAGAACAUUCAAUCUUCAUAAAGAAAUUGCCACACUGUCUCACGGAACAACUUUUGUAUCUCUGUGACUCAAGGCUGAAAGAUCUGCGGGAAGAAUUUGACGCAUUGGUUCCAAUACCUAGUUGUAACUAUGAGAGUUCCAAAGAUUAUAUUGCUCAUCUCCAAAUGUUAAAACUAUUUUAGUUCUUGAUUGGGUUAAAUGAAUCUUAUAGUCAGGCAAGGAGUCAAAUUUUACUCUUGAGUCCACUACCAUCUAUUAACCAAGCAUAUGUUAUGGUAAUCAAUAAUGAAAGUCAAAAAUCAGUAGGACCUACUGCAGGAAUUCUUGGCUCUACUCUUGCAAUUACAGGUUAUGAAUCAGUUAUGUUUACGAGGAGUAAUAACCAAAAUGGCUAUUAUAAAGGUAUUGAAACAACAAUAUUCCCAAGAAGUAGAGGCCAACAACAUUAACAGUUCAAGAAGAAUCAGAAUUUGUAUUAUGAUAUAUGCAAGAUUAGGGGUUUCACUAAAGAGAACUGCUGGAAAGUAAUUGGUUAUCCUACUGAUUUCAAGUUCAGGAAGAGAAUGGGACCAAUGCAAGUGCAAAUGCAGUGUGUAAUCUUGGAGAGGAAAAUUCAUGGCAUGGACAUAGUCAAGUGGUUUACCCAGCUCACACUCAAGCUAACUGUUUCAAUCCUAUAGUCAACUCUGGGAGGAGAGGCUCUAUUUCAUAGACAAGUCCCUGUGUAUUCACUAAUGAGUAGUAUACUCAGAUUCUACAACUGUUAAAUAAAGAAGACAAGUCUAAGCACUCAACUCAUGCAGCAGGUAAAAUGGUAGAGUCAACUGGCUCCACCAAUAUGGAUCUAUGGAUUAUAGACACUUGUGCAACCGACCAUAUGGUUGCUGAUCUCAGUGCACUAAAUGAAUCCUCCAUAACCAGUACUUGUACUCCAAAAAGAGUAUACUUACUAAAUGGUGACAUAUCUUUAGUCAUGCAUGUUGGUUCAAACAAUAUAUUUGGCACUGAUACACUCACAAAUAUUUUUACUUGCCUCAUAUCAAAUAUAAUCUAUUAUCAACCUCUAAACUGACAAAAGAGUUACAGUGUCUUAUAUCUUUUUAUCCUGAUCGGUGUGUAUUUCAGGAUCUCUGCGAUAGGAAAGUGAAGAGGAUUGGGAGAGAAGCUAAUAGACUUUACAUCCUUACCAAUACCACUACUAUCAAUGAUACUGUGAUGAUACAAAAAAGAUCAAAUCUUACUAAUUUUGUUCCUAAGUAUGUCUGUGAUUAUGUAGUUGCUAAUGCCAACUUAGACAUAGUCUUAUGGCAUAAAAUAUUAGGACAUGCUUCUACUCAUGUACUUAGGAAAAACUGCCUAUGACUAGUGGUAUAAUAUUUAAAAAGAUCAAUCAAUGUGCAGUCUGUCCUUGUGCAAAACAGGUCAUACUUCCUUUUCCAACUACUUGUAUCAAAUAUACUUCUACAUUUGAAUUGAUGAAUAUGGAUGUAAGGGACUUUAUAAAGUUCCCACAUUUAAAGAAAAUAGAUUCUUCUUAACUAUAGUUGAUGACUAUUUUAGAAUGACUUGGAUCUAUCUUUUGAAACUCAAAUAUGAUGUGUGUGUAAUAUUGUCUUAGUUCAUUCAACUUAUUAAAACUCAAUUUGAUAAAAAAUCAAAGUUAUUAGAACUGAUAAUGGAAUGAGUUUGUCAACUCUAUAUGUUCUAUAUGGAGUGGCUGAAAAAAAGCAUAGACACAUUCUGGAAAUUAGUAGGGCCAUUAGAUUUCAGGGUCCAGUGCCUAUCAUAUUUUAGGGCUUAUGUGUUAAAGCAGCUGUGUACAUUAUCAAUAGACUUCCCACAACUUUACUACCCUUAUGAGAAAUUAUAUGAAAAGAAACCAAAUAUCAGUCAUAUGAGAACUAUAAGAUGCUUGUACUAUGCUAAUAUAGUCCAACAAUCUGAUAAACUUCAACCUAGAUCUAGAGAAUGUCUUUUGAUGGGUUAUUCUGAUAUUUAGAAGGGCUACUUAUUAUAUGAUCAUACUUAUAAAGUGUUUUUUGUUACAGAGAUGUCAAUUUCAGAGAAGAUGUAUUCCCUUUUAAAGACUUGGUGCAUGACCCCCAACAGUCAAUUGCUACCAAAGUCAAUGAGACUCUAGUCAACUGGUAAGACAUGGAGGUGUAGAACAUACAAAUCUCUUAAUAUUCAGCACCAACUAAGAACACUAAUGAUCACAUAAUACAAGAGCAGGUGACAUAGGUGCCACAGGAUGAUCAGGUUCAAACUCCAAACACAUCUCAACCAUAGGAUGAAAAUUAGGAACAAGCUGUGAUCAGAAGGAACAACAGAAUCAGAAAAGAUCCACUAUGGCUUAAGGAUUUUGUUUCUAUAAACAUUCAUCAGAAAGAACCUUAUGCUCUAGGGAAAUACUUGACCUAUGAUGCUUUAUCUACAAAUUAUUAGGUAUACAUUGGAAAGUCAUCUACAACUACUGAACUAGCUAACUACAGUAAAACAGUAAAAGAUUCAAGGUGGACAGAAGCAAUGAAGGAGGAGAUUACUGCACUAGAAGAAAACAAGACUUAGGAAAUCACUAGCUUACCUGAAGCGAAGAAAACUAUUGGUUGCAAGUGGAUUUUCAAAGUAAAAUACAAAGCCGCUAGUGAAGUAGAGAGGUUUAAGGCUAGAUUAGUUGCUAAAGGCUAUAGUCAACAAGAAGGAAUUAAUUUUCAAGAAACUUUUUCCCAGUUGUGAUGAUGAAAACAGUCAGAACAAUACUCACCAUUGUAGCUCAAAUAAACUGGUUCAUUCACCAAAUGGAUGUGUAUAAUGCAUUUCUGCUAGGAUCUACAUGAGGAGAUUUAUAUGGACUUGCCACAUGGAUUCAAGAGCUAGGGGGAGAAGAAACCAGUAUACAGACUAUUGAAAUCCUUGUAUGGUCUUAAAUAGGCUCCUAGAUAGUGGAAUGCCAAGUUAUCUGAAGUACUAAGAAAAAUGAGGUUCAAGUAAAGUCAAUUAAAUUAUUCUCUAUUCAUAAAGCAAGACAGUAAAGGUAUUACUAUUGUCUUAGUCAUCAUAGGUGAUUCCAUAAAACUGAUUAAAGAUACUAAAGCUAGACUGCAGCAAGCUUUCAAAAUGAAAGACCUGGGUGAACUUAAAUUCUUCUUAAGGAUUGAGUUUGCAAGGUCAAAGAAAGGUAUUCUAAUGCAUCAGAGAAAACAUACAUUAGAACUUGUGUUUGAGUUGGGACUUGGAGCUGCAAAACCUUUCUUUACACCUAUUGAUGCAAAUAUCAAACUAACUACCAAAGAAUAUGAUGAUCAUGUCUGUAGUAAGGAGAAUGGAAUUAGUGAUCCACCAUCAAAUAUGCAUGCUUAUCAGAGACUCAUAGGAAAACUAUUGUAUCUUACAAUGACCAGGCGUGAUGUAUCCUACUGUGUCUAAACUCUUAGUCAGUUUCUACAAUAACUAAAAAAGUCCCAUAUGGAUACAACUAUCAGGAUAGUUAAGCACAUCAAAAUGAAACCUGGACAACGAGUUCUAAUGUCUAGCCAGUCAAAUACUGAAGUCUCAGAAUACUGUGGCGCUGAUUGGGCAUCAUAUCCAUUCUCUAGAAGAUUUGUUACCGGGUACUUUGUAAGGUUUGGAGAAUCCAUUCUUUCCUGGAAAUCAAAGCAACAAAACACUAUUUUUAGAAGCUCAAUUGAAGCAGAAUACAGAAGCAUUACUGUAACUGUGGCUAAACUUGUCUGGUUACUUGGGCUGUUGAAGGACAUUGGAAUUGACACUACACAACCAACAAAGAUCUACACUGAUAGCAAUUCUACCAUGCAAAUUGAAUCAAAUCCUGUAUAUCAUAAGAGGACCAAACACAUUGAAAUAGACUGCAACUUCAUAAGAGAAAAGAUCAAUCAAGUACUAGUCACAGUCAACUAUAUUCCUACCAGCGACCAGCCUGCUGAUGUGUUGACUAAAGGUCUUAGCAAGGCUUACCAUGAACACUUACUAUCCAAUCUAGGUAUCCUUAAUUUAUUUGGGAUCACAUAGAUUGAGGAGGAGUAUUGAAACAAGGGAAGUCAGCUCAGCCCUUGCAACUAACACUGUGAAAACAGUGCUAACUAACUUUUGGAAAGUAGUUAGUGACUAACUUUGUAUCUUAUAGCUAAUUGAGUUAGUUAAGUAGUUAGUCUCUAGAACCUUCCAUGAUUAGCUAUAUAUAUACUAACUAUGGGUGGGCAUAAAUACCGAAAACCCAAACACCGAACAGAACCAAAUUAAUUUAGUUUUUCGGUUUUGGUUUUUCAGUAUUUCGGUUCGGUGUUUGGUUUAUUUUUUUCAUAAAUUCGAUAUUCGGUUCAGGUUUUGGUUAUUGAGUAUAUAUAAUUUGGUAUUCGAUUUAACCAAAUUAUUAUGCAAUAUAUAGGCUUCACUACAUAGGCCUAUUAGUAUUUAAUAAUAUACACUAACAUAAUUGUUUUAGGCGCAAUCGGCCACCCGAUGUAAACCAGCCCAAAGAUUUAAUGGUAGUCUAGUAUCUACUAGGUCACAAGAUUCACUUCAUUUAGCACUUAGCACUUAGCACUUAGCAGCAGACAACAGUAGAACUUAACAGUUAACACUAGCAGUAGCGACGAACGGCGGAUGCAGGACAACGAG